Molecule: long non-coding RNA, 1158 nt
Filed under: Ficedula albicollis (Collared flycatcher)
Lineage: Eukaryota; Metazoa; Chordata; Aves; Passeriformes; Muscicapidae
Description: lncRNA (ENSFALG00000028302.1)
Source: RNAcentral
CUGAACUACCGCUGCCCCUGCCAGGUCCCAGCAAACAAAGCCCACGCAGUCCCUGUGCCCGGGCACGAUGGUGUGUGGGGCCCUCGUCUCCUUCCUGCCCCUUCCCCCGUGCCCACAGCCAGCAGCAGAUGCUGGCCAGCCCUGCAUGGGCAGCAGCCAGCCCGUGGCAACAAUGAGAGCAAGUCAGGCAGCGAGUGCCAUCCUCUGCGAGCCUCUGCUCUGUGUGUGAGUGUGUGUGUGUGUGUGUGUGUGUGUGUGUGCAUCUGCCAGAGCUCCCGCUCUCCCUUCUCCCCCUUCCCUCUCUUCCCUAACCCCCCCCUCCUUGCAGCAGCCCUCGUUCUUUGCACGAGAUGCAGGGCUGGGCAGCCGGGGGAAGUGGCACGGUGCUGCUGCUCUGGGGGACGGAGCCGCGGCUGGGCCCUCGCCCUCCCCGAUGCACCGGGACCCCGCAGCUCCUCAGGGCCCCGGCCAGCCAUGCCCGCCGAGCGCCAAAAGCCGGGUAGCUGCAGCACAGGUAAGAGCCAGGAGGGUGAUGGAAGGCCCCACGGUCCUUCCCUUGGCUGCAUCCCUGGGGGAGGACGGAUCCUGCCUUGCUCCUGCCCCACUUUCCCGCCGGGCAAAGUGGGAGGGGAAGGCUGCUGCUCGGAUGUCACCCCUAUUAAUGCUUCUCCCCGUGCAUUAAUCUUCCCGUGGCAUCUUGUGAAUGGCCAAAGGGACAUAGGCACGGCUUGUAUUUAAUUAGCAGGCGGGGAAAGUGCAGCGUUUCUCAGGCUCAGCCCAGCGCUGGCUGGGGAGGAGCGGGGCUGGCUCUGGGGUGAGCUCCGUGCAAUGGGAUUAGCGCUGGGCCUUUGAUGCUGGGAGAAAACAUCAGCCCUUGCUUGUGCCUGAUCCUCUGAGAUCUUCACCAUCUUGGCAUCUCCCCUCUCCCUUUUCCCUGCUUUGCUACUGUUGUGGUUUUAAAAUGGUGGAUUGUGCUUGAUUUGAAUAUUUGGGUAUCUGUGACAUUGUGGCUGAGCGCUGGGGCUGAGCUGGUUAAAAACGAGACUAAUUGGAGCGAAAAGAGAGCGUGUUGGAGGCGAGGGAGCUGCGCUGAGCCGAGGCUGGAGUGAAAACUUGCAGAUGGCAGAGGCACCUGCACCCUUUGGGGGAAGAACCAGC